Meriones unguiculatus (Mongolian gerbil) is the source of this 162-nucleotide small nuclear RNA. Its record names the gene U1. It matches the Rfam family "U1 spliceosomal RNA". From Rfam's summary of the family: U1 is a small nuclear RNA (snRNA) component of the spliceosome (involved in pre-mRNA splicing). Its 5' end forms complementary base pairs with the 5' splice junction, thus defining the 5' donor site of an intron. NCBI's taxonomy places the organism in Eukaryota, Metazoa, Chordata, Mammalia, Rodentia, Muridae. The record is from Ensembl.
CAAAAGGCCAUGCAGGGGAGAUAGCAUGAUCAUGAAGGUGGUUUUCUUGCAGUGAGGGUUAUCCAUUGCACUCUGGAUGUGCUGACUCCUGUAACAUGCUGAAAUGAAAGUAACUCUGCUGUGUAAUCUUUGGUAGUUGGGGACUGUGUUUACAAUCUCUUC